This 72-nucleotide transfer RNA is filed under the name Marmota monax (woodchuck). RNAcentral describes it as "tRNA.Ala". It matches the Rfam family "tRNA". Rfam says of the family: Transfer RNA (tRNA) molecules are approximately 80 nucleotides in length. Their secondary structure includes four short double-helical elements and three loops (D, anti-codon, and T loops). Lineage: Eukaryota; Metazoa; Chordata; Mammalia; Rodentia; Sciuridae. The record is from RNAcentral.
GGUGGUGUAGUUCAGUGGUAGAACACUUGCCUGGCAUAUGCAAGGCCCUGGGUUCCAUCCCCAGCACUCUAA